AUGGCGCUCCGGCAGAUCUGCGUGCGCGGCCUGUGCGUGUGCCUCCUCCUGGCCGUCGCUCUCGCCGGCGGCGUCCCGAGCCCUCCGCCGCGAGCCGCCGCCGUCCUCGCCACCGUGAACUGCUACAAGACGGUGACCGGGGUGCCGAGGUGGUGCGCGGGGGAGCUCAUCCGGGCGCUCUUCCCCGGCGGCAAGGGCUCCCUCGUCAGCCACUACUGCUGCGAGCUGCUCGCCUGCGUCCGCGAGUGGACGUGCGACUCCGCGAUCCGCGGCGUCUGCGGCCCGCCCCCGGCGCUAGGCAUCGAGUGUCCGCCGACGCGGGCGUCGCUGUCCGCGGCCGUCUCGACCGCCACGACUGAUUUUGGUCCAAGACACGAUUUGCUAGCAAAUGUUGCACAUGUGGACGUGGACGGUGGCCACGGUGGUACACUUUUGCGCGCACGGAGGAUAGAGGUAGGCCUGCCGGUCAGCUCCCCGGAGGUCUCCAGCAAUAAACAAACGAUAGAGGCGGUCUCCGAUGAUGGAGGCGGCCUAGACGACGAGUUGGCAGCCCGCGCCGUUCAAUGUCAACUUGGCGAUGGAAUAGGCGCAGGCGCACUUCAAUACCAGUUUUCUUAUAAUCCUCUUUUGAGGUUGAAGCUGGUGGCUGGCUGCCGCUACUUAUUGGAGAACACACGCUGCUUUACUACAGCUAGAUCUGCCAACUCCAAGAUGCGCCACCUCCGUCUCCGCCGAUGUCGGGGUCCGCAGUCACCAUCUCGUGCUCCCCCGCCACAAGCAGCGUCACGUAUUCUUCCAAAUCACCGUCUAGUCCCUGACACUUGCCUCCAUGGAUACACCGGCCCAAACACCCUCGGCGUCUAA
This 864-nucleotide ribosomal RNA is filed under the name Triticum aestivum (bread wheat). Its description in RNAcentral is "partial small subunit ribosomal RNA". Lineage: Eukaryota; Viridiplantae; Streptophyta; Magnoliopsida; Poales; Poaceae. The record is from RNAcentral.